RNAcentral lists this ribosomal RNA (869 nucleotides) under uncultured archaeon. RNAcentral describes it as "bacterial SSU rRNA". It matches the Rfam family "Archaeal small subunit ribosomal RNA", at positions 1 to 875 of the family's 1478-position model. The record is from RNAcentral.
AUUUUCCCGGUUGAUCCUGCCGGACCCGACUGCUAUCAGAAUGAGAUUAAGCCAUGCGAGUCAACGUAGCAAUACGUGGCACACGGCUCAGUAACACGUAGUCAACAUAACCAGAGGACGUGGAUAAACUCGGGAAACUGAGGCUAAACCGCGAUAGACCAAGAUACCUGGAAUGGUUUUUGAUCAAAAUCUAUAUGGCCUUUGGAUUGGACUGCGACCGAUCAGGCUGUUGGUGAGGUAAUGGCCCACCAAACCUGUAACCGGUACGGGCUCUGAGAGGAGGAGCCCGGAGAUGGGUACUGAGAAAAGGACCCAGGCCCUAUGGGGCGCAGCAGGCGCGAAACCUCUGCAAUAGGCGAAAGCCUGACAGGGUUAUUCUGAGUGACUUUCGCUAAGAAAGUCUUUUGACAUCUCUAAAAAUGGUGUAGAAUAAGGGGUGGGCAAGUCUGGUGUCAGCCGCCGCGGUAAUACCAGCACCCCGAGUGGUCGGGACGAUUAUUGGGCCUAAAGCAUCCGUAGCCGGUUUUACAAGUCCUCCGUUAAAUCCAACUGCUUAACAGAUGGGCCGCGGAGGAUACUAUAAGACUAGGAGGCAGGAGAGGCAAGCGGUACUCAGUGGGUAGGGGUAAAAUCCGUUGAUCCAUUGAAGACCACCGGUGGCGAAGGCGGCUUGCCAGAAUGCGCUCGACGGUGAGGGAUGAAAGCUGGGGGAGCAAACCGGAUUAGAUACCCGGGUAGUCCCAGCUGUAAACGAUGCAGACUCGGUGAUGGACUAGCUUAAUGCUAGUCCAGUGCCGCAGGGAAGCCGUUAAGUCUGCCGCCUGGGUAGUACGGUCGCAAGACUGAAACUUAAAGGAAUUGGCGGGAAU